GUUGUCUGUGCUUCUUUUCUUUGUUCGCUCAAGAACUUUGAUUGAGAAGCUGACCUCGGGCUUCUUUCUGGAUCCUAGUGUCAGCCUUCUGUGUCCUGGAUCACGGGCAAAGGGCAGAGGGCACCUAGAUCAGGCUCUCAGACUCUAUCCAUAGAAGCCAUGCGCUAAUGAAACCUCGACUCUUACUGUGUAGAAGCCGAGUAGAGCUGAUCUGAACUGUGUGGCACAGAUGGCUCACCAACGGCAAUUACAGCAAUGAGCCACUGCGCUCUCCCGGGUGAGGAAGAUGGCUCCGAGAGAAAAGGGCUUGCUGUGUACGGAUGAGGCUCUGAGUGUAGAUCUCAGCAUCCAUGUGAAGAGCCGGGUGUGGUGGUGCACGCCCAUGAUGCCAGCUCUAGCGGGCAGAGACAGAUGAAUUCCUGGGGCUUACCUGGCCAGGCUGCCUAGCCAAUGGGUGAAGCACCAGGUUCAGUGAGAGAGCCUGCUCAAAUCAAUCAAGUAGAGAAUGGAGGAAAAUCAAAUGAAGGCUGGAGAAAAAGCCAAGCGCAGUGCCACAUCACAUCCCAGUGACCAUGACCAUUAUGACAGGAGGCACAGUGCCUCCACGAACAGUCUUCAUAUAUCUUGGCAAAUAUGUGGGCGCGUGUCUCGUUGGCUGCACCGUGGCUGGUUCCUAGGAGCUGGAGUGUAGCAUUCAAGGCCUGAACAUGUUCAGCUGCAGUAGCAACUAUUGGAAACUCAAAACUCACAGAUUUCCCAGGCCAGUGAGGCAGCUCAGGGUAGAAGUGCUCGUUAUACAAGGUGUCCAUUUAGCCCUCGCCGCCAGUCACCCUGGAAGAUGUCGUCUUUGGCCCUGGGUUGCUGGGGAUACCAGGCUCGGAGGCAGCCAGUGACCUUGCUGAACCCAAGUCCCUGCCUUCUGUGAGCGUCGGCAUAGCUUGGGGUACCUGGCAGGCUUUGCUAGAGCUGGUGCUGCCCUUGGCCAGCUUGAUGACUUGAUGACUUGAUGACUUGAUGACUUGAUGACCUCUCUGAGUCUGAGCUUCUCAGCUUUCGAAAGAGAAGGAUGAGCUCCCAGGGCCUCAGCUGAUGGCGAGAAGUCAGCGAGCUAACGUUGCAAGGAACAUGCUGUCCACAGCAAGCAUCUGCCCCUG
RNAcentral lists this long non-coding RNA (1154 nucleotides) under Cricetulus griseus (Chinese hamster). RNAcentral describes it as "lncRNA (ENSCGRG00015041235.1)". Lineage: Eukaryota; Metazoa; Chordata; Mammalia; Rodentia; Cricetidae. The record is from RNAcentral.